GUCUACGGCCAUACCACCCUGAACACGCCCGAUCUCAUCUGAUCUCGGAAGAAAUACGCUGUUACAGUCUCUUUCUGUUUUGAUUGACUAUUGGGAAUUUGUUGCAUGCAAAUACUUGUCAGGGCUGUAGGCU
This 133-nucleotide ribosomal RNA is filed under the name Erinaceus europaeus (western European hedgehog). Lineage: Eukaryota; Metazoa; Chordata; Mammalia; Eulipotyphla; Erinaceidae. The record is from RNAcentral.